RNAcentral lists this ribosomal RNA (206 nucleotides) under uncultured bacterium. RNAcentral's name for it is "partial 16S ribosomal RNA". It matches the Rfam family "Bacterial small subunit ribosomal RNA", at positions 568 to 774 of the family's 1533-position model. The record is from RNAcentral.
CGUGUAGGCGGCCAUUUAAGUCUGGAGUGAAAUUCCUAUUUUAAGGUAGGAACUGCUUUGGAAACUGGAUGGCUUGAGUGCAGGAGAGGUUAUCGGAAUUCCCGGUGUAGCGGUGAAAUGCGUAGAGAUCGGGAGGAACACCAGUGGCGAAGGCGGGUAACUGGACUGCAACUGACGCUGAGGCGCGAAAGUGUGGGGAGCAAACA